This 397-nucleotide ribosomal RNA is filed under the name uncultured bacterium. RNAcentral's name for it is "bacterial SSU rRNA". It matches the Rfam family "Bacterial small subunit ribosomal RNA", at positions 358 to 772 of the family's 1533-position model. The record is from RNAcentral.
GGAAUAUUGGACAAUGGGCGCAAGCCUGAUCCAGCCAUGCCGCGUGAGUGAUGAAGGCCCUAGGGUUGUAAAGCUCUUUCACCGGUGAAGAUAAUGACGGUAACCGGAGAAGAAGCCCCGGCUAACUUCGUGCCAGCAGCCGCGGUAAUACGAAGGGGGCUAGCGUUGUUCGGAAUUACUGGGCGUAAAGCGCGCGUAGGCGGAUUAGUCAGUCAGAGGUGAAAUCCCAGGGCUCAACCCUGGAACUGCCUUUGAUACUGCUAGUCUUGAGUUCGAGAGAGGUGAGUGGAAUUCCGAGUGUAGAGGUGAAAUUCGUAGAUAUUCGGAGGAACACCAGUGGCGAAGGCGGCUCACUGGCUCGAUACUGACGCUGAGGUGCGAAAGCGUGGGGAGCAAA